This 253-nucleotide ribosomal RNA is filed under the name Oceanospirillaceae bacterium. RNAcentral describes it as "partial 16S ribosomal RNA". It matches the Rfam family "Bacterial small subunit ribosomal RNA", at positions 524 to 776 of the family's 1533-position model. The record is from RNAcentral. RNAcentral also lists the same sequence under 1 other name. Lineage: Bacteria; Pseudomonadati; Pseudomonadota; Gammaproteobacteria; Oceanospirillales; Oceanospirillaceae.
UACGGAGGGUGCAAGCGUUAAUCGGAAUUACUGGGCGUAAAGCGCGCGUAGGUGGUGAAGUCAGUCAGAUGUGAAAGCCCAGGGCUUAACCUUGGAAUUGCACCUGAUACUGCUUCGCUAGAGUAUGGUAGAGGGGUGUGGAAUUUCCUGUGUAGCGGUGAAAUGCGUAGAUAUAGGAAGGAACACCAGUGGCGAAGGCGACACCCUGGACCAAUACUGACACUGAGGUGCGAAAGCGUGGGUAGCAAACAGG